UCUAACCAUGCACGUCGAGCGGUAACAUGUAUUAGCUUGCUAGUACGAUGACCGAGUGGCGGACGGGUGAGUAAUGCUUGGGAACUUGCCUUUGCGAGGGGGAUAACAGUUGGAAACGACUGCUAAUACCGCAUAAUGUCUACGGACCAAACGGGGCUUAGGCUCCGGCGCAAAGAGAGGCCCAAGUGAGAUUAGCUAGAUGGUGAGGUAAAGGCUCACCAUGGCGACGAUCUCUAGCUGUUCUGAGAGGAAGAUCAGCCACACUGGGACUGAGACACGGCCCAGACUCCUACGGGAGGCAGCAGUGGGGAAUAUUGCACAAUGGGGGAAACCCUGAUGCAGCCAUGCCGCGUGUGUGAAGAAGGCCUUCGGGUUGUAAAGCACUUUCAGUUGUGAGGAAAAGUUGGUAGUUAAUACCUGCCAGCCGUGACGUUAACAACAGAAGAAGCACCGGCUAACUCCGUGCCAGCAGCCGCGGUAAUACGGAGGGUGCGAGCGUUAAUCGGAAUUACUGGGCGUAAAGCGCACGCAGGCGAUUUGUUAAGCUAGAUGUGAAAGCCCCGGGCUCAACCUGGGAUGGUCAUUUAGAACUGGCAGACUAGAGUCUUGGAGAGGGGAGUGGAAUUCCAGGUGUAGCGGUGAAAUGCGUAGAUAUCUGGAGGAACAUCAGUGGCGAAGGCGACUCCCUGGCCAAAGACUGACGCUCAUGUGCGAAAGUGUGGGUAGCGAACAGGAUUAGAUACCCUGGUAGUCCACACCGUAAACGCUGUCUACUAGCUGUGUGUGAAUUUAAUUCGUGCGUAGCGAAGCUAACGCGCUAAGUAGACCGCCUGGGGAGUACGGCCGCAAGGUUAAAACUCAAAUGAAUUGACGGGGGCCCGCACAAGCGGUGGAGCAUGUGGUUUAAUUCGAUGCAACGCGAAGAACCUUACCUACCCUUGACAUGCAGAGAACUUUCCAGAAAUGGAUUGGUGCCUUCGGGAACU
This 986-nucleotide ribosomal RNA is filed under the name Alteromonas sp. Its description in RNAcentral is "bacterial SSU rRNA". It matches the Rfam family "Bacterial small subunit ribosomal RNA", at positions 47 to 1028 of the family's 1533-position model. The record is from RNAcentral. Lineage: Bacteria; Pseudomonadati; Pseudomonadota; Gammaproteobacteria; Alteromonadales; Alteromonadaceae.